Molecule: long non-coding RNA, 2804 nt
Organism: Quercus lobata
Lineage: Eukaryota; Viridiplantae; Streptophyta; Magnoliopsida; Fagales; Fagaceae
Exons: 10
Source: RefSeq, a predicted model, not a curated record
AUAAGGUUGAAACCCUAGUUAUACAUAGUUUAAUUUUUAAGUCAGCCUUUAAUGGCAGAGAUAUUUGAGAGAGGAGACUACUCAAAGGACUGAAGUAGAGAAAGAUUGACAACACAAUUGAGGUGAGAUCUAAGGAUUUUAGAGAAAGUGUGAGGGAGAAGUUCUCUGUAGUGAGCUAGCUGAGAUAUGCAGGCACUAGAUAGAGUGCAGCCUGGACCCAGUAAUCAAACCUAGUUGACCCAGUAGUCGGAUCAUCGGUCAACUCCGCUUUGGAGGUGCGCCGCCGAUGAGGAGGUGCCUGGCAUCAUAAAGGUUCGAUGUCGUAAAUGUGUAUUGUCGUAGUGUGGGCUAGACCUAUGUAUCAUGCAAUACAUAGAUGCAGCAGGUUUGACCGGGUUAUUCAAGGUUCCUGAUAUGGAGGUUGACCAUGCCUUGGUCACAGCCUUGGUCGAGCAGUGGCAUCUGGAGAUGCACAUAUGGAGAAAUGGGUAUUACCUUGCAAGAUAUAGAGGUGAUGCUGGGGAUUUCGGGGGUUGGGUUUCCUGUCACUGAGAGGACAGACCUGUAAUGGAACAUGGUGUGCCAAGACUUGUUGGGCCAUGAACCUCCGCCUGUGAUACCAAACUCGAACAAGUCUACCCUUGCUAGGACGAGGAUAAAAUACAAGUGGCUUGAUGUACAGUUUGCCUCUCCCCCAAUUGCGGACAUUGGUGAUGAAGUCGUGCAACAACAUGCCCGCUACCAGCUACUUGUACGAAUCGGGGCCCUGUUGUUCAUGGACAAGUUGGCGAACCGAGUUUCACUAUUAACUAUGCAGUUCUUCAACCCAAUCAGCAAUGCAAGACGGUACAGUUGGGGUAGUGUAGCAUUGGCCUGGCUCUACAAGCAACUUUGUAGUGCAUCGAAGAAGGAUGCGAUGCAGAUUGGAGGUGCACUCUUGUUGGUGCAACUAUGGGCCUAUUCAAGGUUUCCACGAAUAUGCCCUAUUACAAGGCCGCCUCUACUGCCAGUGCACUCAGGGCCCCUUAACAUUAGGUGGAGCGGGCCAAAGAUCACCGUAGAGCAUGCCACACACAUCCUUGCUGCGUAUUGAACGUCGCUGGCUACAUUACGGGUAGAGUAGAUUAUAUGGGAACCGUACACGCAUACAUUGGGCUCCCUACCUGCGUAUUGCACUGCUAGGCAGCAUAUUUGGAGGGCCGAGUGCCAUUGAUCUACUUUUGGAUAGUGGAGGGGCAUCAUCCCAAGCGGGUCUUUUGUCAACUUGGGAUAAAGCAACCAGUUUCACUCGUCGUGGAUAUGUCAACUAACCUUCACAAAAUAUCCCUUCAAGGUAAAUGGGAGAAGGACUAGGAGUUAAAACAUGCUGUCCAUAUUCAGCAAUGGGCCAACUGAGGGCAUGAAGUUUGUGCUGCCCCUCUCCUGGACGGUGAUGAUACGUACCUUGUUUAGUACAUGAAGUGGUACAAUUGCAGCACAAGGUGAUACAUAACACCAGAGUUUGCAUACUGAGAACUCAUGGUUUGGACAAUGCUUAGGUCUCUACAGAGGUACGACAAAGGUUCUGACAUGCACAAUGACCUUAAGUUGACACUAGAAUAUGUUGAUGAGCUGGGCCGACUUAAAUUGGUAGAUGCGCUCAUAGAAGCAGCUGACAUUAGUACACAGGCCCCGAGUCAUAGCAGGCGAAGUGGUGGGUCUCGAGGGAGUGGACGUCGUGGAGGUGGUCAUGCUCGUCGCAACCGUACGACCGAGCAAAUCCCAUCUACGAGGAGAGGGAUGACUUGGGUGUAGAGGAGUCAUGGCUUGGCACUGAUUGGGAACUGUCUGACAACGGCGGCAGGGCACCGUGAUGCACAUCUGAUGCUGGUACUAGGCCAUCCCACACCGCCGGUCAUGAGGACACUGUUCUAGCCCAAACUACGUCCCGUGGUGCUAGCAUGGACUAUGAGGACCUUCCCCGUAUGUCGCCCCCAGUUUUCAAUGGAUCUACCUAGGAUGGUGGAUGCAUAUUUGUCCCCACACCAGGCAUGCCCACCCCACCUCUAGUGCAUGUGUAGCCCACCAUGGCAACUUCAUCUCCAAACCCCCACGAAGAGGUUGUACAGAUUGAGCAGAUAUCAGCUGAGGACAUUGAGCCGGUGGAAGGUUUGUGGAGAUCACGACGCCCUCAUACGCAUGCUCUCGAUUGCGAGACCGGUGAUGGUAAUUGGGAUCAAUGGGCAAUUUCCAGGACCAAUUUUCAAUGUUACUACAAAUUGGAAUGUUGUUGUCAAUGUCAAAAAUGGCCUUGACGAGCCAUUUCUUCUCACAUGGAAUGGCAUAGAACAUAGGAAGAACUGUUUGCAAGAUGGUGUUUUAGGUACAAAUUGUCCCAUUCCUGUUGGUUGGAAUUGGACAUAUCAAUUUCAGGCCAAAGAUCAAAUAGAGAGUUUCUUUUACUUCCCGUCCCUUAGCUUCUAGAGAGCUGCGGGUGGAUAUGGAGGAAUCAUCAUAAACAACAGAGAAGUGAUUCUAGUACCUUUCAGGAUGCCAGAUGGAGAUAUUACAAUCAUCAUUAGUGACUGGUACUCUAAGAGUCAUAAGGAACUAAGGCAGGAUGUUGAAAAAGGAAUCAACCUUGGAGUUGCUGAUGGUAUCCUUAUUGAUGGAUUGGAUACCUAUCGCUUUAAUGGGGCAGUUGUUCCAAAUGGUACUACUUACCUGAAAAUAAAUGUUGAACUAGUUGAAUUUCUACAAUGUAUAUGCUAUACUUAGUUUGCUGCCCCUUCUCUUUAAACUCCAUUAACUUGCUCAAAUGAACU